Schistocerca nitens (vagrant locust) is the source of this 379-nucleotide long non-coding RNA. RefSeq lists it as uncharacterized. NCBI's taxonomy places the organism in Eukaryota, Metazoa, Arthropoda, Insecta, Orthoptera, Acrididae. The transcript is spliced from 3 exons. The record is from RefSeq and is a predicted model, not a curated record.
CAGAAUGGGCACAUCACUGAAGACAACUUUUGAAGCUGAUGUAUAAAGUUCAAAUAUGAGUAUCUGAAAAGGACGGGAAAAAAAUACUGUCCUUCAUCAGUAAAAGAGAUACACUCACCAUUCAUACACACAAGCAAGCACUCCCCGUGCAUACAUGACCACCAAUCCAGCAUCUCGGACUGUAAUGCUGGCAUUCUGUAUGCAUAUCAACAAGCGCUGGAACGAAAAUGGAGAACACAAGAGCAGAGAGGGCCGUGAGACGGUGUCAGCCGAUAGCACGCUGACUAGGACAUCACCGCAACAGGAGUGACUUCUACCUGAAGAAAAUAUAAGUGCCGCUUCUGCCAGCCUCAGCCGCACAGUAGAAGAUGGGCACUAG